Molecule: ribosomal RNA, 767 nt
Filed under: uncultured bacterium
Lineage: Bacteria
Description: bacterial SSU rRNA
Rfam family: Bacterial small subunit ribosomal RNA
Source: RNAcentral
UCGAGGGGCAGCAUAUGGAUUGCUUGCAAUCCAUGAUGGCGACCGGCGCACGGGUGCGUAACGCGUAUGUAACUUGCCUUAUGCAGGAGGAUAACCCGAAGAAAUUCGGCCUAAUACUCCAUAAGUGUCAGAGAGGCAUCUUUCGGGCAUGAAAGAUUUAUCGGCAUAAGAUAGACAUGCGUGACAUUAGCUAGUCGGUGAGGUAACGGCUCACCGAGGCGACGAUGUCUAGGGGUUCUGAGAGGAAGGUCCCCCACACUGGUACUGAGACACGGACCAGACUCCUACGGGAGGCAGCAGUGAGGAAUAUUGGUCAAUGGACGGAAGUCUGAACCAGCCAUGCCGCGUGCAGGAUGACGGCUCUAUGAGUUGUAAACUGCUUUUGUACGAGAAUAAUAGUUCUUACGUGUAGGGAUUUGAAUGUAUCGUACGAAUAAGGAUCGGCUAACUCCGUGCCAGCAGCCGCGGUAAUACGGAGGAUUCGAGCGUUAUCCGGAUUUAUUGGGUUUAAAGGGUGCGUAGGCUGUCGGAUAAGUUAGAGGUCAAAUGUCGGGGCUUAACCCCGUGCCUGCCUCUGAUACUGUUCGACUGGAGAGCGGAUGCAGCAGGCGGAAUGAGUAGUGUAGCGGUGAAAUGCUUAGAUAUCACACAGAACACCGAUUGCGAAGGCAUCUCACGAAUCCGCGAUUGACGCUGAUGCACGAAAGCGUGGGUAUCAAACAGGAUUAGAUACUCUGGUAGUCCACGCUGUAGACGAUGAUGACUAA